This 328-nucleotide unclassified non-coding RNA is filed under the name soil metagenome. RNAcentral describes it as "partial contains 5.8S ribosomal RNA, internal transcribed spacer 2, and large subunit ribosomal RNA". The stretch from base 1 to 120 matches the Rfam family "5.8S ribosomal RNA", at positions 35 to 154 of the family's 154-position model. The record is from RNAcentral.
GAUGAAGAACGUAGCAAAAUGCGAUAAGUAAUGUGAAUUGCAGAAUUCAGUGAAUCAUCGAAUCUUUGAACGCACAUUGCGCCCCUUGGUAUCCCGAGGGGCAUGCCUGUUCGAGCGUCAUUUCACCACUCAAGCCUGGCUUGGUGUUGGGCGACGUCCUCUUUGGGGACGCGCCUCGAAACGCUCGGCGGCGUGGCACCGGCUUUAAGCGUAGCAGAAUCUUUCGCUUUGGAAGUCGGGGCCCCGUCUGCCGGAAGACCUGCUCGCAAGGUUGACCUCGGAUCAGGCAGGGAUACCCGCUGAACUUAAGCAUAUCAUAAGCGGAGGA